Molecule: ribosomal RNA, 253 nt
Filed under: uncultured bacterium
Lineage: Bacteria
Description: partial 16S ribosomal RNA
Rfam family: Bacterial small subunit ribosomal RNA
Source: RNAcentral
UACGGGGGGGGCAAGCGUUGUUCGGAAUUACUGGGCGUAAAGGGCUCGUAGGCGGCCAACUAAGUCAUACGUGAAAUCCCUCAGCUUAACUGGGGAACUGCGUGUGAUACUGGAUGGCUUGGAUUUGGGAGAGGGAUGCGGAAUUCCAGGUGUAGCGGUGAAAUGCGUAGAUAUUGGGAAGAACACCGAUGGCGAAGGCAGCCAUCUGGACCGACACUGACGCUGAGGCGCGAAAGCGUGGGGAGCAAACAGG